ACGGGAGGCAGCAGUGGGGGAUAUUGCACAAUGGGGGAAACCCUGAUGUAGCGACGCCGCGUGAGUGAUGAAGUAUUUCGGUAUGUAAAGCUCUAUCAGCAGGGAAGAUAAUGACGGUACCUGACUAAGAAGCACCGGCUAAAUACGUGCCAGCAGCCGCGGUAAUACGUAUGGUGCAAGCGUUAUCCGGAUUUACUGGGUGUAAAGGGAGCGUAGACGGCAAGGCAAGCCUGAUGUGAAAGCCUGGGGCUCAACCCCGGAACUGCUUUGGAAACUGUUAAGCUAGAGUGCAGGAGAGGUAAGUGGAAUUCCUGGUGUAGCGGUGAAAUGCGUAGAUAUUAGGAGGAACACCAGUGGCGAAGGCGGCUUACUGGACUGUAACUGACGUUGAGGCUCGAAAGCGUGGGGAGCAAACAGGAUUAGAUACCCUGGUA
RNAcentral lists this ribosomal RNA (434 nucleotides) under uncultured Clostridium sp. Its description in RNAcentral is "partial 16S ribosomal RNA". It matches the Rfam family "Bacterial small subunit ribosomal RNA", at positions 341 to 792 of the family's 1533-position model. Lineage: Bacteria; Bacillati; Bacillota; Clostridia; Eubacteriales; Clostridiaceae. The record is from RNAcentral.